This 253-nucleotide ribosomal RNA is filed under the name uncultured bacterium. RNAcentral describes it as "partial 16S ribosomal RNA". It matches the Rfam family "Bacterial small subunit ribosomal RNA", at positions 524 to 776 of the family's 1533-position model. The record is from RNAcentral.
UACGUAGGGUGCAAGCGUUAAUCGGAAUUACUGGGCGUCAAGCGUGCGCAGGCGGUUUUGUAAGUCUGAUGUGAAAUCCCCGGGCUCAACCUGGGAAUUGCAUUGGAGACUGCAAGGCUAGAAUCUGGCAGAGGGGGGUAGAAUUCCACGUGUAGCAGUGAAAUGCGUAGAGAUGUGGAGGAACACCGAUGGCGAAGGCAGCCCCCUGGGUCAAGAUUGACGCUCAUGCACGAAAGCGUGGGGAGCAAACAGG